This 900-nucleotide ribosomal RNA is filed under the name Arthrobacter sp. CR120. RNAcentral describes it as "bacterial SSU rRNA". It matches the Rfam family "Bacterial small subunit ribosomal RNA", at positions 547 to 1445 of the family's 1533-position model. The record is from RNAcentral. Lineage: Bacteria; Bacillati; Actinomycetota; Actinomycetes; Micrococcales; Micrococcaceae.
GAUUAUUGGGCGUAAGAGCUCGUAGGCGGUUUGUCGCGUCUGCCGUGAAAGUCCGGGGCUCAACUCCGGAUCUGCGGUGGGUACGGGCAGACUAGAGUGAUGUAGGGGAGACUGGAAUUCCUGGUGUAGCGGUGAAAUGCGCAGAUAUCAGGAGGAACACCGAUGGCGAAGGCAGGUCUCUGGGCAUUAACUGACGCUGAGGAGCGAAAGCAUGGGGAGCGAACAGGAUUAGAUACCCUGGUAGUCCAUGCCGUAAACGUUGGGCACUAGGUGUGGGGGACAUUCCACGUUUUCCGCGCCGUAGCUAACGCAUUAAGUGCCCCGCCUGGGGAGUACGGCCGCAAGGCUAAAACUCAAAGGAAUUGACGGGGGCCCGCACAAGCGGCGGAGCAUGCGGAUUAAUUCGAUGCAACGCGAAGAACCUUACCAAGGCUUGACAUGAACCGGUAAUACCUGGAGACAGGUGCCCCGCUUGCGGUCGGUUUACAGGUGGUGCAUGGUUGUCGUCAGCUCGUGUCGUGAGAUGUUGGGUUAAGUCCCGCAACGAGCGCAACCCUCGUUCUAUGUUGCCAGCACGUGAUGGUGGGGACUCAUAGGAGACUGCCGGGGUCAACUCGGAGGAAGGUGGGGACGACGUCAAAUCAUCAUGCCCCUUAUGUCUUGGGCUUCACGCAUGCUACAAUGGCCGGUACAAAGGGUUGCGAUACUGUGAGGUGGAGCUAAUCCCAAAAAGCCGGUCUCAGUUCGGAUUGGGGUCUGCAACUCGACCCCAUGAAGUCGGAGUCGCUAGUAAUCGCAGAUCAGCAACGCUGCGGUGAAUACGUUCCCGGGCCUUGUACACACCGCCCGUCAAGUCACGAAAGUUGGUAACACCCGAAGCCGGUGGCCUAACCCCUUGUG